RNAcentral lists this long non-coding RNA (330 nucleotides) under Lathyrus oleraceus (garden pea). RNAcentral describes it as "Pisum sativum (pea) long non-coding RNA (PSAT_LNC022852)". Lineage: Eukaryota; Viridiplantae; Streptophyta; Magnoliopsida; Fabales; Fabaceae. The record is from RNAcentral.
AAUGUCCAAAAUUUGACCAAGUCUCUUAGGGGUCAAGGCAAUCUUUUUCCCUCUAACAUGUGUAACAAAUUUUAUAUUCUCAAUGCACAUGUUACAGUAAAACAUUCUCACUAAAUCUGGAUAGUAAGGUCCAGAAGAAGUGAUAAGUGCCCAUAAUCCUAGAGAAAUUAAUUUAUCUUGAAAAUUAAAAUAUUCUUCAGGAAAGGAGGAAAGAUCACCGUAUUUGGGGGUUUGUACUGUCUUCUUUUGAUAAAACUUUUGAUAUCUUUCCAAUUCCUUUGGGGUGUGGUCUUUGAAGAAAUGUUGAAUAUCCAUGGAUGAGGAUCCAGC